Molecule: ribosomal RNA, 349 nt
Filed under: uncultured bacterium
Lineage: Bacteria
Description: bacterial SSU rRNA
Rfam family: Bacterial small subunit ribosomal RNA
Source: RNAcentral
GGGCCCGCACAAGCGGUGGAGCAUGUGGUUUAAUUCGAUGAUACGCGAGGAACCUUACCAGGGCUUAAAUUAGUGGGACAGGUCUAGAGAUAGACCCUUCUCGGACUCAUUACAAGGUGCUGCAUGGUUGUCGUCAGCUCGUGCCGUGAGGUGUCAGGGUUAAGUCCUAUAACGAGCGCAACCCCUAUCGUUAGUUGCCAGCGAGUAAUGUCGGGAACUCUAGCGAAACUGCCGGUGCAAACCGUGAGGAAGGUGGGGAUGACGUCAAAUCAUCACGGCCCUUACGUCCUGGCCACACACGUGCUACAAUGGUCAGUACAGUGGCAGCGACCCCGCAAGGGUGAGCUAA